Molecule: long non-coding RNA, 197 nt
Organism: Notothenia coriiceps (black rockcod)
Lineage: Eukaryota; Metazoa; Chordata; Actinopteri; Perciformes; Nototheniidae
Exons: 3
Source: RefSeq, a predicted model, not a curated record
AUUUUAAAUAUGUACUGGUCUCGUUUUUACUAAAAACAAAUUCUUAUUUGUUGAUUUAUAGAUUGCAACCAUGGGCCGCCGUCCAGCCCGCUGCUAUCGCUACUGCAAGAACAAGCCUUACCCCAAGUCCCGCUUCUGCAGGGGUGUGCCUGAUCCCAAGAUCAGGAUCUUCGACUUGGGCAGGAAAAAGGCUAAGG